This 219-nucleotide long non-coding RNA is filed under the name Fukomys damarensis (Damara mole-rat). Its description in RNAcentral is "lncRNA (ENSFDAG00000031350.1)". The record is from RNAcentral. Lineage: Eukaryota; Metazoa; Chordata; Mammalia; Rodentia; Bathyergidae.
AUGUCUUCUCAAAGUAACCACUGUGGAGGAAGUCUGUGUGGACAGAUGGGCUUCACACCCUCCCCUAAAGGUCGACCAGUUGCUGGUGUCACAUGGGCAUCUCUCUCAUCUCCCAGAUUGAUGGUAUCAUCGAGGACUUCCCACAUAAACAAGAUAAACGAAAGGCUUCCACCGACAGGUGGGAAAACUUUGGACAUUGGAAACUUCUGUGCCCAGUGA